CCCGGCGGCCCUGGUCCGCGCCCGCCGAAGACAGUCUAAAACUCUUUACUUAAACGGCCGUCUGAGCGUAUAAGCAAAAAUCAGUUAAAACUUUCAACAACGGAUCUCUUGGUUCCGGCAUCGAUGAAGAACGCAGCGAAAUGCGAUAAGUAAUGUGAAUUGCAGAAUUCCGUGAAUCAUCGAAUCUUUGAACG
RNAcentral lists this ribosomal RNA (194 nucleotides) under Arthroderma phaseoliforme. RNAcentral describes it as "5.8S ribosomal RNA". The stretch from base 89 to 194 matches the Rfam family "5.8S ribosomal RNA", at positions 1 to 106 of the family's 154-position model. Rfam says of the family: 5.8S ribosomal RNA (5.8S rRNA) is a component of the large subunit of the eukaryotic ribosome. It is transcribed by RNA polymerase I as part of the 45S precursor that also contains 18S and 28S rRNA. Functionally, it is thought that 5.8S rRNA may be involved in ribosome translocation. The record is from RNAcentral. Lineage: Eukaryota; Fungi; Ascomycota; Eurotiomycetes; Onygenales; Arthrodermataceae.